UGCGCGGCUUGCUCCAGCAAGGUAAAAUUUCCCACUGCGAGGCAGGCAGUGAUGCUGCGGCCGCUUCGCACUGUGGCUCCUGCCGACCGCCAGGCGCUGUUACAGUGGAUGCGAACUAACCGUAAGUCAUUAUAUCGUACUGCAGAAACCAGCUCAACUAUGCAAAACUACCACCAGGACUGGCCGACACCAGGAGGGAUUCCAGAGACCACACUGCAGGGAGCAUACAGAAAGAAAAUUAAGAGAUCAGAUGCAGCAGCAGCCGGAACCCACAGUUCACCUUGGUGCAUUCCUUUAUGAUGAAGACUUAUUGAUUCAUUAUAUGAGAAAGGAAAAAUGAGCAGAAACUACUGUAUGAUGUGCAGCUCACACCAGACAGCAACUUUAGGGUUAUCUUUCCAGUUCAGCAGUGCAACUCUAUGGAGUAGAAUUGAAAGGAGACUUUUCGCCAAUUGCAGGAAAUGGUCAUAAAAAAAUACCUGCUCACUGACAGAAUAAAGGCUUAUUAGAUCCUGAUCACCUAAGAGUUUCUUGUCAGCACUCCUGUCAAAUGGAUGAAAUGCGCCCGGAAGGCUACCUCUGACAAAAGGGAAGGCACAGCAGAAAUGUUACUGUGUAAGGGUGCCAGUGGGUACAGAUGUGGUUAUCAUCUUCCACUAAUCAUCUAAGAACAAAGCAUCUUUUGCUCCUUUGGGGGGCUAAAUGGGAUGGUUACUAAGUGGGAAGGAUGUGCUUUCCUAAUACAGCAGCAUAAUAAUUGUUCUAAAAGAUUUUAACCCUGGCUGGGCACAGUGGCUCACGCCUGUAAUCCCAGCACUUUGGGAGGCUGA
RNAcentral lists this long non-coding RNA (830 nucleotides) under Homo sapiens (human). RNAcentral's name for it is "HSALNT0376342". Lineage: Eukaryota; Metazoa; Chordata; Mammalia; Primates; Hominidae. The record is from RNAcentral.